This 334-nucleotide long non-coding RNA is filed under the name Sinocyclocheilus anshuiensis. Its description in RNAcentral is "lncRNA (ENSSANG00000026442.1)". The record is from RNAcentral. Lineage: Eukaryota; Metazoa; Chordata; Actinopteri; Cypriniformes; Cyprinidae.
GUGUACCACACUUUGUUGCUCCAUCAUUUAAGAUGCAUGACUUGUUCAGGAUCACCACACCAGGGGCCAAACCACAGCCCAAAGACUGCAGGAGCUGUUCUUCUUCUCUCAGGGCCUGAGGGAUCACGGGCCCCUGGACAGAACCGUCAGGAAGAAGAAAAACAUUUUAGGCCACCAGAGUGUUCCAUUAUCCAAAGUGAGUGUGGAAACAGAGCUGGAAAUCACGGCGCACCUUAAAUACCAUUUGCAUCAGCGUCAUUUGAAGGGAACCACUCAGAAUUCGUCUCUUGAGGAGAAAGAAGCCGCAGUGUUUCAGCAAACGAGGUUCAAGGUU